RNAcentral lists this ribosomal RNA (252 nucleotides) under uncultured Bacteroidales bacterium. RNAcentral's name for it is "partial 16S ribosomal RNA". It matches the Rfam family "Bacterial small subunit ribosomal RNA", at positions 524 to 776 of the family's 1533-position model. Lineage: Bacteria; Pseudomonadati; Bacteroidota; Bacteroidia; Bacteroidales. The record is from RNAcentral.
UACGUAGGGUGCAAGCGUUAUCCGGAUUUAUUGGGUUUAAAGGGUGCGUAGGCGGGUUAUCAAGUCAGCGGUAAAAUCGUGGAACUCAACUCCAUCCAGCCGUUGAAACUGAUGUUCUUGAGUGGGCGAGAAGUAUGCGGAAUGCAUGGUGUAGCGGUGAAAUGCAUAGAUAUCACGCAGAACCCCGAUUGCGAAGGCAGCAUACCGGCGCCCGACUGACGCUGAGGCACGAAAGUGCGGGUAUCGAACAGG